UUUCCUACCAGGUAGAAUUUCCCGAAAGCGAAUUUGAUUUCAGGAAAUGGAAGAGGUACAGAGAAAGAUGUGGAAGAGAAGGCAGCAUAGCUAAAAAAAGAUUUACCCUGAUGAGACUCCAAGAACUAAAAGGAAAUUUUGCAGUUCUCACAGUAAGAAUGGUAAAAUUGACAGCAAACACUGACAUCUUUCCAAACAUUCUGUGCAACUCUCGUCGUCCUCCAAGGAGAACCAGGACGUCUCAGCACAAAAUGUAACCAGGUUACAGCCGCUAACAAGAGGAACUGUGAGACUUGGAAGACAAAAAUGAAGAGGAAGGAAGCCAUAUUCUCAGACAGCAUGGCGGCAAGGCAUGGUGGCUUUCUACAGGUGUCUCUGUGGCUGCCCUCUUCUGGGGCAUGGGGACCAGAAGCAGUGGUUUCUCAGACUCCUGUGUGAGCUCUAGAUCUCCACCCACUCCAGUGCUUCGGGCUGAAGUCAUCAGCGACUGUUUCCCAAUCUGCCAGUCUGCCAAACCUUCACCUCCCUAACUCCUUCCAUAUUUGUGUAAACCUUAAUUCCUCUAUUAUUUUCCUUAUUCCCGUGAUACUUGUAGUGGUUCAGUGUUUUUACCCAAGCUCCAACUGAUAUACCAGAGUACCCUGGCACUUACUCUCAUGUUAUACUUCCCAGCUAAUGUGUUUUCUAACAAAUACUUAUUUGAUGUAGGAUACCCCUAAGCCACAGUCUAAUUCUCUUGAAGCACCCUCAGGGAAAUACACCUGCUUUGGAGCUGCCUGGUUGUAUUUCAUCUUUAAUAUGUAGGGCUCCACUAUUAUGUUUCAUAAAAGUCGAAUGUAUGGUAUGGCAGGUUAAUGACUGCUGGGCCACACUAAAUGAGCAGUCUAGGCCAGAAUAAGCUUAGGGCUUAUUCUUUCCUAAAAUUGUAAGUGGAGGUUUUCAAAGAACAACUGACACUAGCAUUUAAACUAGCUACUGGAUGUUUGAUUCUAUCAUUUCAAUCAUAUUUUACCAUAUCAUCUCAUCAGUUUCUUAUCUUACUUGCCCAAUAGUACAGGACUUUAUUGUCAUAACUGACUUUAAAAUAAAACCUACAAUAAAUCCAAACUUU
Long non-coding RNA from Equus caballus (horse), 1111 nucleotides. The record is from Ensembl. NCBI's taxonomy places the organism in Eukaryota, Metazoa, Chordata, Mammalia, Perissodactyla, Equidae.